ACACAACACUAUAACAUUUAUGCUUUUUUAUGGGAGUUUUUUUGUGAGAAUUUUAGAAACUUCCACAAUAUAUUUGAUUUCUAACAAUUUAAAAAACUUCCGCAGAUAUAAUUAAUAAAGACUCCACUAUUAGUUCGAAAUUAAAAAUAAAACUCCCUUGCUUCACCCCCGAAAAGAAGAACUCCCACUCAAACAGGGGGAGAAUGAGAUCUGAGUGUUAGCAAAACAGAGAUUCAGAGAGAAGACAAAGCUCGCCACCAAAACCCUAAGUUUGCCGCCGUAGCCAUUGCCGCCUCUAUCACCACCGCAGUUCAUCUCCUCUCCAGAUCUAGUUGAUCGCAACGUCAAAGCCUUCGCGCACUUCAAAAUACAAAAACUUCUUUUGGAACAGAACAUACCACAUGUUGCAAUAGUCUCAGUAUGUGAGGCACCCAAUGAUCAUUAUAUUCUUCUUGAGGGAACCUUCCUCAAGCCUAACAUGGUUACCCCUGGCUCUGAUAGCCCAAAGAACACCUUGCACAUAUCUAGGCAAAAACAUUACAUUCUGUGUCAAUGAAGGUUCUACACCCUUUUGGCUAUCACUCUUGGCAGAGUGGGAGGAUGGAGAUGGAGACAUCAGCUCCAUGUAUUUAUAAGAAGUUUUAAGGGAUGGGCAGUGGCAAGAGCAAAAUGCAGCCAUAAUUUAAAAGGGUGUAAUGAUGACCACUUGAUCCUUGUUAAUUUUCAUACGAG
Long non-coding RNA from Arachis duranensis, 732 nucleotides. RefSeq lists it as uncharacterized. Lineage: Eukaryota; Viridiplantae; Streptophyta; Magnoliopsida; Fabales; Fabaceae. The record is from RefSeq and is a predicted model, not a curated record. The transcript is spliced from 5 exons.